CCCAGAGCCUGAAUCAGUGUGUGUGUUAGUGGAAGCGUCUGGAAAGGCGCGCGAUACAGGGUGACAGCCCCGUACACAAAAAUGCACAUGCUGUGAGCUCGAUGAGUAGGGCGGGACACGUGGUAUCCUGUCUGAAUAUGGGGGGACCAUCCUCCAAGGCUAAAUACUCCUGACUGACCGAUAGUGAACCAGUACCGUGAGGGAAAGGCGAAAAGAACCCCGGCGAGGGGAGUGAAAAAGAACCUGAAACCGUGUACGUACAAGCAGUGGGAGCACAGAGCAAUCUGUGUGACUGCGUACCUUUUGUAUAAUGGGUCAGCGACUUAUAUUCUGUAGCAAGGUUAACCGAAUAGGGGAGCCGAAGGGAAACCGAGUCUUAACUGGGCGUUAAGUUGCAGGGUAUAGACCCGAAACCCGGUGAUCUAGCCAUGGGCAGGUUGAAGGUUGGGUAACACUAACUGGAGGACCGAACCGACUAAUGUUGAAAAAUUAGCGGAUGACUUGUGGCUGGGGGUGAAAGGCCAAUCAAACCGGGAGAUAGCUGGUUCUCCCCGAAAGCUAUUUAGGUAGCGCCUCGUGAAUUCAUCUCCGGGGGUAGAGCACUGUUUCGGCAAGGGGGUCAUCCCGACUUACCAACCCGAUGCAAACUGCGAAUACCGGAGAAUGUUAUCACGGGAGACACACGGCGGGUGCUAACGUCCGUCGUGAAGAGGGAAACAACCCAGACCGCCAGCUAAGGUCCCAAAGUCAUGGUUAAGUGGGAAACGAUGUGGGAAGGCCCAGACAGCCAGGAUGUUGGCUUAGAAGCAGCCAUCAUUUAAAGAAAGCGUAAUAGCUCACUGGUCGAGUCGGCCUGCGCGGAAGAUGUAACGGGGCUAAACCAUGCACCGAAGCUGCGGCAGCGACGCUUAUGCGUUGUUGGGUA
This 925-nucleotide ribosomal RNA is filed under the name Escherichia coli. RNAcentral describes it as "partial 23S ribosomal RNA". It matches the Rfam family "Bacterial large subunit ribosomal RNA", at positions 296 to 1230 of the family's 2925-position model. Lineage: Bacteria; Pseudomonadati; Pseudomonadota; Gammaproteobacteria; Enterobacterales; Enterobacteriaceae. The record is from RNAcentral.